RNAcentral lists this transfer RNA (70 nucleotides) under Cryptobranchus alleganiensis (hellbender). Its description in RNAcentral is "tRNA-Tyr". It matches the Rfam family "tRNA". Rfam says of the family: Transfer RNA (tRNA) molecules are approximately 80 nucleotides in length. Their secondary structure includes four short double-helical elements and three loops (D, anti-codon, and T loops). Lineage: Eukaryota; Metazoa; Chordata; Amphibia; Caudata; Cryptobranchidae. The record is from RNAcentral.
GGUAGGAUGGCUGAAAUAAGUGUAGGGUUGUAACCCCUUUUAUAAAGGUUAAAAUCCUUUUUUUACCAGG